AGGGAAUCUUCCACAAUGGACGAAAGUCUGAUGGAGCAACGCCGCGUGAGUGAUGAAGGUUUUCGGAUCGUAAAGCUCUGUUGCCAGGGAAGAACGCUUGGGAGAGUAACUGCUCCCAAGGUGACGGUACCUGAGAAGAAAGCCCCGGCUAACUACGUGCCAGCAGCCGCGGUAAUACGUAGGGGGCAAGCGUUGUCCGGAAUUAUUGGGCGUAAAGCGCGCGCAGGCGGUUCAUUAAGUCUGGUGUUUAAGGCAAUGGCUCAACCAUUGUUCGCACCGGAAACUGGUGGACUUGAGUGUAGGAGAGGAAAGUGGAAUUCCACGUGUAGCGGUGAAAUGCGUAGAGAUGUGGAGGAACACCAGUGGCGAAGGCGACUUUCUGGCCUAUAACUGACGCUGAGGCGCGAAAGCGUGGGGAGCAAAC
Molecule: ribosomal RNA, 424 nt
Filed under: uncultured bacterium
Lineage: Bacteria
Description: bacterial SSU rRNA
Rfam family: Bacterial small subunit ribosomal RNA
Source: RNAcentral